RNAcentral lists this ribosomal RNA (403 nucleotides) under uncultured bacterium. RNAcentral's name for it is "bacterial SSU rRNA". It matches the Rfam family "Bacterial small subunit ribosomal RNA", at positions 29 to 415 of the family's 1533-position model. The record is from RNAcentral.
AACGAGCGCUGGCGGCGUGGAUAAGACAUGCAAGUCGAACGAGACUUUCUUUGGUAGCAAUACCGAAGGAAGUUUAGUGGCGAACGGGUGCGUAACACGUGGGCAAUCUGCCUUAAAGUGGGGGAUAGCUCGGCGAAAGCCGGAUUAAUACCGCAUGUGAUGAGGGGAGACAUCUUUCCAAAAUCAAAGUUGGUGCAAGCUAACGCUUUUUUGAGGAGCCCGCGGCCUAUCAGCUAGNGGUGGGGUAACGGCCUACCAAGGCUUUGACGGGUAGCUGGUCUGAGAGGACGACCAGUCACACUGGAACUGAGACACGGUCCAGACACCUACGGGUGGCAGCAGUCGAGAAUUUUUCUCAAUGGGGGCAACCCUGAAGGAGCGACGCCGCGUGGAGGAUGAAGGC